CCUACGGGGGGCUGCAGUAAGGAAUAUUGGUCAAUGGACGCAAGUCUGAACCAGCCAUGCCGCGUGGAGGAUGACGGUCCUCUGGAUUGUAAACUUCUUUUCUCUGGGACGAAACCCCCGAUUUCUAUCGGGCCUGACGGUACCAGAGGAAUAAGCACCGGCUAACUCCGUGCCAGCAGCCGCGGUAAUACGGAGGGUGCAAGCGUUAUCCGGAUUCACUGGGUUUAAAGGGUGCGUAGGUGGGCAGAUAAGUCAGUGGUGAAAUCUCUGGGCUUAACCCGGAAACUGCCAUUGAUACUAUUUGUCUUGAAUUCUCUGGAGGUAAGCGGAAUAUGUCAUGUAGCGGUGAAAUGCUUAGAUAUGACAUAGAACACCCAUUGCGAAGGCAGCUUACUACGGAGACAUUGACACUGAGGCACGAAAGCGUGGGGAUCAAACAGGCUUAGAUACCCCGGUAGUC
This 460-nucleotide ribosomal RNA is filed under the name uncultured Lacibacter sp. Its description in RNAcentral is "bacterial SSU rRNA". It matches the Rfam family "Bacterial small subunit ribosomal RNA", at positions 338 to 795 of the family's 1533-position model. The record is from RNAcentral. Lineage: Bacteria; Pseudomonadati; Bacteroidota; Chitinophagia; Chitinophagales; Chitinophagaceae.